UACGUAGGGGGCAAGCGUUGUCCGGAUUUAUUGGGCGUAAAGAGCGUGUAGGCGGCCUGACAGGUCUGCUGUGAAAACUCGAGGCUCAACCUCGAGAUGUCGGCGGAAACCGUCUGGCUAGAGUCCGGAAGAGGAGACUGGAAUUCCUGGUGUAGCGGUGAAAUGCGCAGAUAUCAGGAGGAACACCGGUGGCGAAGGCGGGUCUCUGGGCAACAACUGACGCUGAGGAGCGAAAGCGUGGGGAGCGAACAGG
RNAcentral lists this ribosomal RNA (253 nucleotides) under uncultured bacterium. RNAcentral's name for it is "partial 16S ribosomal RNA". It matches the Rfam family "Bacterial small subunit ribosomal RNA", at positions 524 to 776 of the family's 1533-position model. The record is from RNAcentral.